Molecule: long non-coding RNA, 357 nt
Filed under: Phaseolus vulgaris (common bean)
Lineage: Eukaryota; Viridiplantae; Streptophyta; Magnoliopsida; Fabales; Fabaceae
Description: long non-coding RNA (PVUL_LNC001947)
Source: RNAcentral
GCAGAUGCAGCCACCACCUGCACCUACUGGACUGCCUCCUGGAUAUACCAUGCCUGGUAAUUAUAACUCCAUGAUGGGAACAGGUGGUGGUUAUCCUCAGUAUCCUUAUGGCCUUGGUGGCUACCGACAAAAUUGACCAUUGCACCUGGAUAUCAUUACCAAUGUCAAACAGUGUGUGAGACUUAUUGAGCAUUAUACUUAGAUAGCAAUAUCAAAGUGUAUGAGAUUGAUUGAGCAUUAUACCUGGAAGAUAAGAUAGCACGUCAAUACCUCAUUUGUGGCAUCAUCACUACCAGUGAAUGGAUCAAAUAACCCUUCUUGGGUUAUUACUUUUUGUUAUUAACCCCAACACCAACC